This 73-nucleotide transfer RNA is filed under the name Stegodyphus mimosarum. It matches the Rfam family "tRNA". Rfam says of the family: Transfer RNA (tRNA) molecules are approximately 80 nucleotides in length. Their secondary structure includes four short double-helical elements and three loops (D, anti-codon, and T loops). The record is from Rfam by way of RNAcentral. Lineage: Eukaryota; Metazoa; Arthropoda; Arachnida; Araneae; Eresidae.
GCCUUCGUGGUGUAACGGUUAGCACACUCGGCAAGUAUUCGAGAGGUCCAAGGUUCGAAUCCCGGCGAAUGCA